GAUGAACGCUGGCGGCGUGCCUAAUACAUGCAAGUCGAGCGAACGGACGAGAAGCUUGCUUUUCUGAUGUUAGCGACGGACGGGUGAGUAACACGUGGAUAACCUACCUAUAAGACUUGGAUAACUUCGGGAAACCGGAGCUAAUACCGGAUAAUAUUUUGAACCGCAUGGUUCAAAAGUGAUAGACGGUCUUGCUGUCACUAAUAGAUGGAUCCGCGCUGCAUUAGCUAGUUGGUAAGGUAACGGCUUACUAAGGCAACGAUGCAUAGCCGACCUGAGAGGGUGAUCGGCCACACUGGAACUGAGACACGGUCCAGACUCCUACGGGAGGUAGCAGUAGGGAAUCUUCAGCAAUGGGCGAAAGCCUGACGGAGCAACGCCGCGUGAGUGAUGAAGGUCUUCGGAUCGUAAAACUCUGUUAUUAGGGAAGAACAUAUGUGUAAGUAACUGUACACAUCUUGACGGUACCUAAUCAGAAAGCCACGGCUAACUACGUG
RNAcentral lists this ribosomal RNA (497 nucleotides) under uncultured bacterium. Its description in RNAcentral is "partial 16S ribosomal RNA". It matches the Rfam family "Bacterial small subunit ribosomal RNA", at positions 28 to 507 of the family's 1533-position model. The record is from RNAcentral.